AAUGGUCCCAGGCCGAUGCCUCCUGGUGGCACUCCACCCGCCCCACCUCCUCCUCCUGGUGGUAGUGGUGCAAUGGCAAAUUUCACUCCUGGUGCUCAGGUGGGCAGGCCUCCAAUGCCUCCAAGUUUUUCUAGCCAACAGAUGUAGGACCAGGUUGUCGAUGUCUGGCUUCACUCCCAACAAGGGAUAGGUCUAUUAUCCUUCUGAGUGUUUGCAAAGCAUAUUGUUC
Molecule: unclassified non-coding RNA, 229 nt
Filed under: Hevea brasiliensis (rubber tree)
Lineage: Eukaryota; Viridiplantae; Streptophyta; Magnoliopsida; Malpighiales; Euphorbiaceae
Source: RNAcentral